CCUUGGCUCGGAUUUAGGCCAA
Molecule: non-coding RNA, 22 nt
Filed under: Arabidopsis thaliana (thale cress)
Lineage: Eukaryota; Viridiplantae; Streptophyta; Magnoliopsida; Brassicales; Brassicaceae
Source: RNAcentral